Molecule: unclassified non-coding RNA, 244 nt
Filed under: uncultured fungus
Lineage: Eukaryota; Fungi
Description: sequence contains ITS2
Rfam family: 5.8S ribosomal RNA (bases 1-52)
Source: RNAcentral
AACGCACAUUGCGCCCGCCGGCAUUCCGGCGGGCAUGCCUGUUCGAGCGUCAUUUCAACCCUCAGGCUCCGCCUGGUGUUGGGUCACCACCACUCGGUGGGCCCCCAAAUUCAGCGGCGAGCGUCCCCUGGACCCGAGCGUAGUAAUACAUCUCGCUUAGGGCGCCGGGAGCGGUUCCAGCCGUUAAACCCCCAUCUUUUACAAGGUUGACCUCGAAUCAGGUAGGAAUACCCGCUGAACUUAA